GCAAAAGACUUAGUCCUAACCUUUCUAUUGGUUUU
RNAcentral lists this ribosomal RNA (35 nucleotides) under Gallus gallus (chicken). RNAcentral describes it as "partial 12S ribosomal RNA". The record is from RNAcentral. Lineage: Eukaryota; Metazoa; Chordata; Aves; Galliformes; Phasianidae.